This 444-nucleotide ribosomal RNA is filed under the name uncultured bacterium. RNAcentral's name for it is "SSU rRNA". It matches the Rfam family "Bacterial small subunit ribosomal RNA", at positions 26 to 518 of the family's 1533-position model. The record is from RNAcentral.
AGAGCGAACGCUGGCGGCAGGCCUAACACAUGCAAGUCGAGCGCCCCGCAAGGGGAGCGGCAGACGGGAGAGUAACACGUGGGAACGUACCCUUCAGUUCGGAACAACCCAGGGAAACUUGGGCUAAUACCGAAUACGUCCGUAAGGAGAAAGAUUUAUCGCUGAAGGAUCGGCCCGCGUCUGAUUAGCUAGUUGGUGGGGUAAUGGCCCACCAAGGCGACGAUCAGUAGCUGGUCUGAGAGGAUGAUCAGCCUCAUUGGGACUGAGACACGGCCCAAACUCCUACGGGAGGCAGCAGUGGGGAAUAUUGGACAAUGGGCGCAAGCCUGAUCCAGCCAUGCCGCGUGGAUGAUGAAGGCCCUAGGGUUGUAAAGUCCGUUUUUAACGGGAAGAUAAUGACGGUACCCGUAGAAUAAGCCCGGCUAACUUCGUGCCAGCAGCCGC